UACGUAGGCAGCAAGCGUUGUUCGGAGUUACUGGGCGUAAAGGGUGUGUAGGCGGUUCUUUAAGUUUGGUGUGAAAUCUCCCGGCUCAACCGGGGGGGUGCGCCGAAUACUGAGGGACUAGAGUGCGGGAGAGGAAAGUGGAAUUCCUGGUGUAGCGGUGAAAUGCGUAGAUAUCAGGAGGAACACCGGUGGUGUAGACGGCUUUCUGGACCGUAACUGACGCUGAGGCGCGAAAGCGUGGGGAGCAAACAGG
RNAcentral lists this ribosomal RNA (253 nucleotides) under uncultured bacterium. RNAcentral's name for it is "partial 16S ribosomal RNA". It matches the Rfam family "Bacterial small subunit ribosomal RNA", at positions 524 to 776 of the family's 1533-position model. The record is from RNAcentral.